Molecule: ribosomal RNA, 513 nt
Filed under: uncultured bacterium
Lineage: Bacteria
Description: bacterial SSU rRNA
Rfam family: Archaeal small subunit ribosomal RNA
Source: RNAcentral
ACUCAAUAGAUACCCUGGUAGUCCCAGCUGUAAACGAUGCAGACUCGGUGAUGAGUUGGCUUUAUGCCAAACUCAGUGCCGCAGGGAAGCCGUUAAGUUUGCCGCCUGGGGAGUACGGUCGCAAGACUGAAACUUAAAGGAAUUGGCGGGGAGCACCACAAGGGGUGAAAGCCUGCGGUUCAAUUGGAGUCAACGCCGGAAAUCUUACCGGGGGCGGACAGCAGAAUGAAGGUCAAGCUGAAGACUUUACCAGACAAGCUGAGAGGAGGUGCAUGGCCGUCGCCAGCUCGUGCCGUGAGGUGUCCUGUUAAGUCAGGUAACGAGCGAGACCCCUGCCUCUAGUUGCUACCAUUAUUCUCAGGAGUAGUGGAGCUAAUUAGAGGGACUGCCGUCGCUGAGACGGAGGAAGGAGGGGGCUACGGCAGGUCAGUAUGCCCCGAAACCCUCGGGCCACACGCGGGCUGCAAUGGUAAGGACAAUGAGUUUCGAUUCCGAAAGGAGGAGGCAAUCUCU